RNAcentral lists this ribosomal RNA (253 nucleotides) under uncultured bacterium. Its description in RNAcentral is "partial 16S ribosomal RNA". It matches the Rfam family "Bacterial small subunit ribosomal RNA", at positions 524 to 776 of the family's 1533-position model. The record is from RNAcentral.
GACAUAGGUGGCGAACGUUAUCCGGAUUCACUGGGUUUAAAGGGUGCGUAGGUGGGCAGUUAAGUCAGUGGUGAAAUCUCCGGGCUCAACCCGGAAACUGCCAUUGAUACUAUCUGUCUUGAAUAUCGUGGAGGUAAGCGGAAUAUGUCAUGUAGCGGUGAAAUGCUUAGAUAUGACAUAGAACACCAAUUGCGAAGGCAGCUUACUACCCGAAUAUUGACACUGAGGCACGAAAGCGUGGGGAUCAAACAGG